Molecule: long non-coding RNA, 836 nt
Organism: Passer domesticus (house sparrow)
Lineage: Eukaryota; Metazoa; Chordata; Aves; Passeriformes; Passeridae
Exons: 4
Source: RefSeq, a predicted model, not a curated record
CCACUUCCUUCCGCCACUUCCUUCUGCCACUUCCUUCCUUCCCUGCAGUUCGUAUGUGGGACGACCAAGGACUUGUCACAAAGGGAAGGAAAUGCAUGAAAUCCUUUUGACCAAACACGGAUAAGUAUCCAGUGAAUUGGUCAUUCAAGCUCCUGUUAUUAGAUGCUUCUGGGCUGCAAUUCACUUCAUAUUGAAGCAGAAGUCCAUGAUAGGUCAGGGAAGAUGACCAGGCAUCUGCUCAGGGGGGAACUGAAAAAGCAAGCUAAGCAACUUAAACACUGCAGAUAUUACAGAAAAGGAAAGUAGCACACUGUCACAUCUUUGGAUCCUAGAAGACUUUCUCCAGACUUAAAUCUUUGUCAUGAGGCUGCAAUCCAGAUGAGAGGAUAGGCUGAAAACUCAGAAGGAAGAUAGAUUUUAAUUUAAUGAAUGGCUGAACCAAUGGAGGGAUGAAAAUACUGCAUACUGGAAUUUAAGAAGUUUUUGGUCUCCAGCAGAGCUUGAUCUCUUUCCCUGAAGUUAGCCAUGGUUCAGGUAUCUGCUUUAUGGACUAGCCCUGCUGUGAACUGCCACAACUCUGGCUGACUCUGCUCAGGGACAGCAUGGAUCUGGCUGGAUUUAUUAGCUCAGGCGCAAACGCAAAUAUGGUUAUGCUGCUGCCAAAGCCAGCUUAGGUACAAAAAGAGUCAAGUAUCCUUCAUAUGACAGAGAAAUGAAACAAGCUCGUGUCAUUUCAGCUGAUCCUGUGCUAGCCAGAAUGGAUGUUUCAGUACUGUGAUCCCAAAAUUAGAGGUAGAAAGGAGAGUGAUGCACUGCUAAUAAUUUAUUAAUGUUGA